RNAcentral lists this ribosomal RNA (1001 nucleotides) under Tetrahymena foissneri. Its description in RNAcentral is "partial large subunit ribosomal RNA". It matches the Rfam family "Bacterial small subunit ribosomal RNA", at positions 537 to 1533 of the family's 1533-position model. The record is from RNAcentral. Lineage: Eukaryota; Ciliophora; Oligohymenophorea; Hymenostomatida; Tetrahymenidae.
AGCGUAUCCAUAUUGACUGAGUGUAUUAAAUACGUAGGAUAUUAUAAUUACUAUUUUAAAAUUGUAUUAAAAAAUAAAUAUAAUAGUUUUUUUAUAAAUAAUAAUUAAAAUUAAGUAAAGGAGAUUUAUAGAACAACGAUUAAAUGUAGUUACACUAUAUAGCUCACCAUAAACUCAGGUGCUUUGCUAAUUUUAAUUUUAUCUGAUGUAUGAAAGUACGGGUAUCGAUAAGGAUUAGUUUCCCUAGUAGUCCGUACUGUAAAAGAUGAAUACUUUAUGAAUUUUAAAUUCAGGAAUAGCUAACGCAAAGUAUUCUACUCGGGGAGUAUUAUCGCAAGAUUAAAACUUAACUGAAUUGGCGGGAAUUUGUUCGAACGGUGGAACAUGUGGUUUAAUGCGAUAAUCCACGCAAAAUCUUACCAAUGUUUUAGGCUCUAUUAGUAAUAUAGUUAACACUAAAAUUAAUUAAUAAAGUACGGAAUUGCAUGGCUGUCGUCAGUUCGUGCUGUGAAGUUUAGGAUUAAGUUCUUUUUAACGAAUGCAACCCUAUAAAUAAGUUUUUAUUUAUUAUUAACUUUAUAUAAUAAAUAUUCUUAUUUAAUCUAUAAUUAAAUAUAUUAGAAUCUAUUCUGUAUAUUUGAAUAUAGGGGUUUUAGGCUGAAGUCAAGUCCCUAUGGUCUUUAUACGUUGGGCUACACACGUGUUACAAGGAUAAAAACAAAGAGACGCAACAGAGUAAUCUAGAGCAGACCUCUAAAAAUUAUCUUAGUUCAGAUUGUUCUAUGAAAUUCUAGAGCAUGAAGAUGAAAUCGUUAGUAAUUGUAAAUUAUAAUGUUACAGUGAAAUAAUAGUCAAAUUUUGCACACACCGCCCAUCACGCUCGGAAAGUCGAUAUUAGUGGAAGAUUUGAAAAAUUUUAUAUAAAAUUAAACUUUUUUUAAGUUUUUUGUAAAUAUUUAUUUUUUUUUAAUAAUAUAAACAAGUAGUAGUAUCUAAUCUAA